Molecule: ribosomal RNA, 500 nt
Filed under: uncultured bacterium
Lineage: Bacteria
Description: bacterial SSU rRNA
Rfam family: Bacterial small subunit ribosomal RNA
Source: RNAcentral
GAUGAACGCUAGCGGCAGGCCUAAUACAUGCAAGUCAAGGGGCCCAGCAAUGGGCACCGGCGGACGGGUGCGUAACGCGUACACAACGUACCUUUAAGUGGGGGAUAGCAUUGGGAAACUGGUGGUAAUACCCCAUAAUAAUAUUGGGAGGCAUUUCCUGAUAUUUAAAGCUUCGGCGCUUAGAGAUCGGUGUGCGUCUGAUUAGCUAGUUGGUAGGGUAACGGCUUACCAAGGCGACGAUCAGUAGGGGGUGUGAGAGCAUGACCCCCCACACGGGUACUGAGACACGGACCCGACUCCUACGGGAGGCAGCAGUAAGGAAUAUUGGACAAUGGAGGGAACUCUGAUCCAGCCAUGCCGCGUGAAGGAUGAAGGCGCUCAGCGUUGUAAACUUCUUUUGAAUGGGAACAAUAACUUCUACGUGUAGGAGCUUGAGGGUACCAUUAGAAUAAGCACCGGCUAACUCCGUGCCAGCAGCCGCGGUAAUACGGAGGGUGCAA